This 253-nucleotide ribosomal RNA is filed under the name uncultured bacterium. RNAcentral's name for it is "partial 16S ribosomal RNA". It matches the Rfam family "Bacterial small subunit ribosomal RNA", at positions 524 to 776 of the family's 1533-position model. The record is from RNAcentral.
UACGGAGGGUGCAAGCGUUAAUCGGAAUCACUGGGCGUAAAGCGCACGUAGGCUGUUUGGUAAGUCAGGGGUGAAAUCCCGCGGCUCAACCGCGGAAUUGCCCUUGAUACUGCUGGACUUGAGUUCGGGAGAGGGUGGCGGAAUUCCAGGUGUAGGAGUGAAAUCCGUAGAUAUCUGGAGGAACAUCAGUGGCGAAGGCGGCCACCUGGACCGAUACUGACGCUGAGGUGCGAAAGCGUGGGGAGCAAACAGG